CACGUAGGCGGAUAUUUAAGUCAGGGGUGAAAUCCCAGAGCUCAACUCUGGAACUGCCUUUGAUACUGGGUAUCUUGAGUAUGGAAGAGGUAAGUGGAAUUCCGAGUGUAGAGGUAAAAUUCGUAGAUAUUCGGAGGAACACCAGUGGCGAAGGCGGCUUACUGGUCCAUUACUGACGCUGAGGUGCGAAAGCGUGGGGAGCAAACA
This 207-nucleotide ribosomal RNA is filed under the name uncultured bacterium. RNAcentral describes it as "partial 16S ribosomal RNA". It matches the Rfam family "Bacterial small subunit ribosomal RNA", at positions 568 to 774 of the family's 1533-position model. The record is from RNAcentral.